CCUACGGGUGGCAGCAGUGGGGAAUAUUGGUCAAUGGGCGCGAGCCUGACCCAGCAACGCCGCGUGAAGGAAGACGGCCCUCCGGUUUUUAACUUCUUUUUUCAGGGACGAAACAAGUGACGGUACCUGACGAAUAAGCCACGGCCAACGACGUGACAUCAGCCGCGGUAAUACGUAGGUGGCAAGCGUUAUCCGGGUUUACUGGGUGUAAAGGGCGUGUAGGGGGGGAAGCAAGUCAGAUGUGAAAGUGCAGGGCUCAAACCUCGAACUGCAUUUGAAACUGUUUUUCUUGAGUGAUUGAGAGGCAGGCGGAAUGCCGUGUGUAGCGGUGAAAUGCGUAGAUAUAAGGAGGAACACCGGUGGCGAAGGCGGCAUGCUGGCCAUUAACUGACGCUGAAGCACGAAAGCGUGGGGAGCAAACAGGAUUAGAUACCCGAGUAGUC
This 443-nucleotide ribosomal RNA is filed under the name uncultured bacterium. RNAcentral describes it as "partial 16S ribosomal RNA". It matches the Rfam family "Bacterial small subunit ribosomal RNA", at positions 338 to 795 of the family's 1533-position model. The record is from RNAcentral.